This 387-nucleotide ribosomal RNA is filed under the name uncultured bacterium. Its description in RNAcentral is "bacterial SSU rRNA". It matches the Rfam family "Bacterial small subunit ribosomal RNA", at positions 29 to 416 of the family's 1533-position model. The record is from RNAcentral.
AACGAACGCUGGCGGCAUGCCUUACACAUGCAAGUCGAACGGCAGCACGGGAGCAAUCCUGGUGGCGAGUGGCGAACGGGUGAGUAAUAUAUCGGAACGUGCCCAGUCGUGGGGAUAACGUAGCGAAAGCUACGCUAAUACCGCAUACGAUCUAUGGAUGAAAGCGGGGGAUCGCAAGACCUCGCGCGAUUGGAGCAGCCGAUAUCAGAUUAGGUAGUUGGUGAGGUAAAGGCUCACCAAGCCGACGAUCUGUAGCUGGUCUGAGAGGACGACCAGCCACACUGGGACUGAGACACGGCCCAGACUCCUACGGGAGGCAGCAGUGGGGGAAUUUUUGGACAAUGGGCGCAAGCCUGAUCCAGCAAUGCCGCGUGCAGGAUGAAGGCC